CUGCUAAUUUAUUUCAUGAGAGGGGCAUACGCGCAGUGUCAGGUGCACGGACGCCCACGCGGUGUAAAUUCGGCGACUGGAAUAGCGUGGGUGGCGCUCUGAAUUAGCUAAUGUCAAGCGGAGACGCAACCGGCUGUUAUUCAUCGCGAUGCAACGUAUAUCUUU
Apis florea (little honeybee) is the source of this 165-nucleotide long non-coding RNA. NCBI's taxonomy places the organism in Eukaryota, Metazoa, Arthropoda, Insecta, Hymenoptera, Apidae. The record is from RefSeq and is a predicted model, not a curated record.